CAUGAAGCUGGAAUCGCUAGUAAUCGCGGAUCAGAAUGCCGCGGUGAAUACGUUCCCGGGUCUUGUACACACCGCCCGUCACACCAUGGGAGUCGGAAAUGCCCGAAGUCGGUGACCGAACCGAAAGGAAGGAGCCGCCGAAGGCAGGUCUGGUGACUGGGUGAAGUCGUAACAAGGUAGC
This 181-nucleotide ribosomal RNA is filed under the name uncultured bacterium. RNAcentral describes it as "partial 16S ribosomal RNA". It matches the Rfam family "Bacterial small subunit ribosomal RNA", at positions 1319 to 1500 of the family's 1533-position model. The record is from RNAcentral.